CGACCACGAUCCAAGCCUAAAUACUACUCAGCUACCGAUAGCGAACAAGUACCGUGAGGGAAAGGUGAAAAGAACCCUUGUAAAGGGAGUGAAAUAGAACCUGAAACCAUUAGCUGGCAAGAUGUCAUAGCCCGCAAGGGUGGUGGCGUGCCUUUUGUAGAAUGAGCCUGCGAGUUAUGUCAUGCAGCAAGGUUAAGCGAUCGUAGUCGCGGAGCCGAAGGGAAACCGAGUCUGAAUAGGGCGAUUUAAGUUGCAUGCCAUAGACCCGAAGCCAAGGUGAUCUAUCCAUGAGCAGGUUGAAGCAAGGGUAAAACCUUGUGGAGGACCGAACAGUAAUCUGUUAAAAAAGGUAGUGAUGACUUGUGGAUCGGAGCGAAAGACUAAACAAACCUGGAAAUAGCUGGCUCUCCCCGAAAUGCCUUUAGGGACAGCCUCAUAGAAAGAUAACGGGGGUAAAGCACUGGAUGAGUGCGGGGGGGUCAAACCCUACCAAACUCAAUCAAACUCUGAAUACCGUUACCCAGCCUAUGGGAGUGAGACUGCGUGCGACAAGGUUCGUAGUCAAGAGGGAAACAGCCCAGACCAUCAACUAAGGUCCCAGAAUCAUGCUAAGUGUGAAAUGAAGUGCGGAUGCACAGACAGCCAGGAGGUUGGCUCAGAAGCAGCCAUUCCUUAAAAGAGUGCGUAACAGCUCACUGGUCGAGCAUCCGUGCGCAGACAAUGAAACGGGGCUAAGCAUGAUACCGAAGUUAUGGAUUCACACUUCCGUGUGACUGGUAGGGGAGCAUUCCAAUAACCGAUGAAGGAAGACCCGCGAGGGCUUCUGGAGGACUUGGAAGAGAGAAUGCAGGUAUAAGUAACGAAAAGACGGGUGCGAUCCCCGUCCGCCGAAAACCAAAGGUUUCCAGGGUAAAGGCAAUCUGCCCUGGGUAAGUCGGCCCCUAAGGCCAGGCCGUAAGGCGUAGUCGAUGGGAAAUUGGUUUAUAUUCCAAUACCUCUUAUAGUUUCGAGGGCAUGACGCAUUAGGUGAACUCCGGCAGGGUGACGGUUAUCCCUGUCUAAGCAGCGAGUUGUUGAGGAGCGGCGAAAACGUUCCGAGAUGAGCUGUAGGCCAAGCGAGGAAGAUAGUCCUUGUAAGCGGAUGUAAUCAAGGUGCCAAGAAAUAAUGCAUAAGGUUAGGCUAUAAGAGACCGUACCGGAAACCGACACAGGUUGGUAGGAUGAGUAAUCUAAGGCGCUCGAGCGACAUUGCGUUAAGGAACUCGGCAAAAUGCACACGUAACUUCGGAAGAUGUGUGGCUCUGUUAGUGAUAAUAAGAGCGGCAGAAAGCAGGCCCAGGCGACUGUUUACCAAAAACACAGCCAUCUGCGAAUCAUUAAUGAGACGUAUAGGUGGUGACGCCUGCCCGGUGCUGGAAGGUUAAGAGGAGCGGUGUUAAAGCUGUGAAUCGAAGCCCCAGUAAACGGCGGCCGUAACUAUAACGGUCCUAAGGUAGCGAAAUUCCUUGGCGGGUAAGUU
This 1519-nucleotide ribosomal RNA is filed under the name gut metagenome. RNAcentral's name for it is "bacterial LSU rRNA". It matches the Rfam family "Bacterial large subunit ribosomal RNA", at positions 450 to 1982 of the family's 2925-position model. The record is from RNAcentral.